RNAcentral lists this small RNA (317 nucleotides) under Arabidopsis thaliana (thale cress). RNAcentral's name for it is "ATSL214070". Lineage: Eukaryota; Viridiplantae; Streptophyta; Magnoliopsida; Brassicales; Brassicaceae. The record is from RNAcentral.
UGUACGGUGAUACUUUCUGGUUUGGAUCCACCUUGUUUGCCCCAAAUACGGAUUCAAAACCACAAUCUUAGUAUCAUCGUCUUUUAAGAUGCAUAAUAAUAAACCCUCACAAUGAAAGACUUGAGAUAUCUUGACUUGUUUAGAACCAUGUAGGCAAGUAAGUUUACCUAGAGACUUUAUGGAUAGGUUUUCGUUGACGAUGAUGCCCAUUAAAUAAACGUUGUAAUCCAUCAUCACAAUCAUUCGAUUCUCUCCUAAUUCCCUUGCUGCUUCUUCUUCUUUCCGUAUGUGCAUCUUCUUAAAGCUCUGGCUUUCUA